RNAcentral lists this ribosomal RNA (264 nucleotides) under uncultured bacterium. Its description in RNAcentral is "partial 16S ribosomal RNA". It matches the Rfam family "Bacterial small subunit ribosomal RNA", at positions 88 to 354 of the family's 1533-position model. The record is from RNAcentral.
CCGGCGACCGGCGCACGGUGAGUAACACGUAUGCAACCUGCCCUCUUCAGGGGGACAACCUUCCGAAAGGGAGGCUAAUCCCGCGUAUAUCGGUUUCGGGCAUCCGAGAUCGAGGAAAGAUUCAUCGGAAGAGGAUGGGCAUGCGGCGCAUUAGCUAGACGGCGGGGUAACGGCUCACCGUGGCGACGAUGCGUAGGGGUUCUGAGAGGAAGGUCCCCCACACUGGUACUGAGACACGGACCAGACUCCUACGGGAGGCAGCAG